This 2381-nucleotide long non-coding RNA is filed under the name Octopus sinensis (East Asian common octopus). Its description in RNAcentral is "uncharacterized LOC118767784". The record is from RNAcentral. Lineage: Eukaryota; Metazoa; Mollusca; Cephalopoda; Octopoda; Octopodidae.
AGCAUGGAAAGCGGACGUUAAACGAUGAUGAUUAUAUAUAUAUACUAGAAUAUUCUUAGUUAAGUGUAACAGAGAUUUUAAGGGAGUAAAAGUGAUCUAGAUUUGCUAGACCCAUAAUGGUUGAAAUUUAAGAAUGCUAUAUUAAAGUUGUAGUUACAUUCAGAAUAUAGAUGUAGUGUGACAGCAUAUAAUGAUGUUACACUGUAACAAGAUGACCUGUUACAAUCCAUAGAGUAUAUAUCGAGACUGCUAACAUUCGAUGUUGUUGUCUCGUUUUUUUCCUUUGUGUUAAUUUUCAGUGAAUAACACAAGACAUUGAAACCAAAUAUUCCACCCAUUCCUCCCUCCCCCCUCGUCCCUUACAUUGAUGCCUAACUGAUAUCUGUUGUCUUUAUUCCCCCACCUCAUCAACAGUGGGGGGUUCCUCUCUCUCUAUCUCUCCCACCCACCCCUCCGAAUAGUCACACAAAGCUACACGGUUCUUACGUUUACUUCGUCUGCCAUUUGUCGACUCAACCAAAGUGACUAAAAGUUUUGGACAUAGCAGACGGUAUUUUGACAAUCAUAUAAAGUGUCUUUCUCUCUAGAAACAAUGGUGCCACGGAAACUUUGGAAGUUUCCGUGGAGUAUCUUUGGAUGUAAUAUUUAAAGAAAAAAACCAAAAAUAAAAAUCAUAUUUAUUUUUAAUUUAUAUUUUUUAUUUAAUCAUUGUGAGUGCCAUAGUGUGGCGAACCAUUCUCUGCAAAACUGAGUCCAUGAUCCAGUUCCAAUUCCUGACUGGAACGACCUCACUUUGUUUAAUGCCUUUCGGAAAGGCAUGAAUGUCACAAAAUCCAGUUAUCCUUCACCUGGAUGUUUUAUGCCUAUGUAAAAAAUAUUUUUUAAUAGAAAUGCUAUUCUCUCUCUCUCUCUCUCUCUCUCUCUCUCUCUCUCAUUUUUUUUUUUUUAGUCCUCAAUGUCUGUACCAACAACCAUGGGAAUCUAAUCUCCCUGGCAUCUCUUGCUUUGAUCUGGAUCAGCAGAAUAAAACAAACAACUCUUGUAUAAAGUUCUCAUACACACACACACAUACACACCACAUUUGUCAGAUUAAUAUUUAUUCUCCUAAGAUUCCGAUUUCAAUCAUAAAAGGAUGCAAAAAAGAAAAAAAAAAAAUUGUGAUAUUAAAACUAUUUCUUUUAUUUUUUUAUAUUUUCUCUCCCUAUUCCUUGGUAAUUCCUGUCUUAUCUACAUAGAAUGCCUGGUCUUCUACACACAAUAGAAUUCUGUGUAUGUAAGACAAUCGUUCAUCCCAGAAUAUCUCUCCAUUCAUUAUGUUACUUGUCCUUCUUUCAUCUCUACCUUGUUUUGAUGUCUAUCCCUUAGACAGUAGCUACAUAUGUAUUGUUUAGCCCUAGGUCAGUCCUGAUCGAGUAGACCUAUGAUUAAAGCUGUGACCAUCUUGUCUUUAGUUUCCAUUUUUUUAAUUUCCAAGCGUAGUGUAUCUGCGACUACAUUAUUCGGUGUGUUCUUUCUAAGUUUGUGAUCUGAGGGAGAUUUAUGAGUUAUUUCUUGCAGGUUGAGCAACACAAGAGGCUCUGUCAUUGGAUCAUGCAUGUGUGUGUGGAUGAGAGAGUGAAUGAUGAUAGAUGGAUAAUAAUAAUAAUAAUACUGGGUUGAAUACUUUCCGAUAUCAGAUUUGGUGCCUUAGAAUUUAGGUUAAAUUUGCUAGUCAUCUCACCCCCCUGGCAUCAACAAAACACGAAGGCUGAAAGGGUUUUGACCUAAGGAGCCUCGUUAAGGCAACCACCACCUGUUGUCGCUUGCAUCUUUGGUUCUCUCAGCAGCCAAGAUGAUCUCAGAUGUGCGCUUGCUGUGCAUGUUUCUGGCGCAUACAAGUAAGUGAUGCCUGAAGAUAGAUUACGACAUCUGAGCAAAGUGGAAUAUUCAUUAACCCCCUCCCCCACUCCCCCAAAUAAUUAAAAAGGUGGGGAGUGGUGGUCGUGGAACUUCCUUGUGAUUGCACUGCAAACAUCGUGGUGUGUGGAUUGUCUUAUCUGAUAAUUAGUCAUGUAUAAAGUAAAAUGGGGAUUCUCCAAUGUUGCCAAUUCGUGCUCUCUGCUGUUCCCUAAUUUUUUUGUUUGUUUUCUUUUCUUCCCCCCUUUCCCCCCAUCCCUGUCACUCCCCAGCUCUACAAACAUUCAUUUUGAACUGAACUUUUUCCCUAUCAUUGCAUAUCUUCUCUCAGAACAAUAUUUAGUUCCCAGCUUGUCAGUUAGUGUCUAUGUGUGCACAUGUGUGCAUCCAUCCAUGCAUGCACAUAUACACACAUACACACACACACAUACAUAUAUAUAUUUACAACUGAUAUCUAUUCUCUCAUGAUGUCCUGUUAAAAUUAA